Molecule: long non-coding RNA, 1203 nt
Organism: Asterias rubens (European starfish)
Lineage: Eukaryota; Metazoa; Echinodermata; Asteroidea; Forcipulatida; Asteriidae
Exons: 3
Source: RefSeq, a predicted model, not a curated record
GUUGAGAUAGCGCCCUCAUAUUAAUACUAACUGUACGGUGAAAUUUUGCCCCUAGUCGUCUGCUCGGGAAAGGAUAAGCAUCACAAUAUGGUGAGUUACAGCUGCCAUUGACUACCAGGACACUUGGAGAUGUCUUCGGUUCCUUAGAGGCAGAGAAAGACAAUCUGGGAAUCCAGGAGUAUUCCAUCUCACAGACAACACUGGAUCAGGUCUUUGUCAAAUUUGCUGAUGGCUCGACAGACAGCAGUGAAGAGAAGAGCCAAGACUUCAUCAACCAAGCUUAUACAACCGAUGAAGCAGACAAAGCAAUUUAAGUUGUCUAAAAAACAUAGCAAAGUGAAUAAAAUCACCCUCUCCAUCAAAUCAUGGUCAAGUAAUGUUUAAUUACGCAAGGUGGAAGUAAAUGUAAAACAAUCCAGAACUAUAUUCCAGAAUUCUAAGCAAAUAAAACGGAACAUUUCUGAAAAGUUAUUCAAAAGAUGUAGGCAACGCCAUCAGCUUUGCUGCAAAAGAAAUUAACUAUAUAUAAUUAUUAUUUGAUGUUUUUAAUUAUGCAAGGUACAAGAGCAAUGUAUAAAAAACAAAGGUGAUGGUUUUGAAGAAAAUGUUAUAUUUUAAAGCAAUUCUAUAUGUACACAAGUUUUUAUAUCAAUAAUUUCAAGCACAGUUUGGACGAUACAAUUUGUUAGGGUAGUACAUGGUUGUGUAAGGUGGAAUCCCUGCAAGAAUGCUUAACAAUGGGGCAUUGGUUGAUUGUAAUACACAAAAUGUUAAAACAACUUAUAAUUUAAUACCUCACAAAAAGAUUUUAAUAAAAAUGGGAAUUAUGUUUAAAAAAGUAGAUGUAAAUAUAUGACACUAUAUUCAAACAACGAGAGUCAUUCCAAAACAAUUGAUUUGAAUUAUUAUAUUUUGAUUUAUAUUUAUUCUAAUUGAGUAUUCAAAUCAUCACUGUAAUGUUUAGCUCCUACAUUAUUAUUCUUAAACAUUUUUCACAAGUUGUAUUAUAGCUUAAAAACAUGCUCUCUGGUAGAAAUAAAGGUUGUUUUAUGUAAAACCAAAACAGUUGUCUUUUUGUAAAAAAGAAGAAGAAAUUACAGGGCAUGAGAAUGAGAUGUAAAUUGUUCAGAUUCAUCAUUCGGUGACCAAAUUAAUGUACAAUUCCUUGACAAACAAACGUCAUAACAAACUCAGUUUUAAUAA